GCAAGUCGAGCGGAAAGGCCCUUCGGGGUACUCGAGCGGCGAACGGGUGAGUAACACGUGAGCAACCUGCCCUAGGCUUUGGGAUAACCCCGGGAAACCGGGGCUAAUACCGAAUAGGACCUGGCCUCGCAUGAGGCUGGGUGGAAAGUUUUUCGGCCUGGGAUGGGCUCGCGGCCUAUCAGCUUGUUGGUGGGGUGAUGGCCUACCAAGGCGACGACGGGUAGCCGGCCUGAGAGGGCGACCGGCCACACUGGGACUGAGACACGGCCCAGACUCCUACGGGAGGCAGCAGUGGGGAAUAUUGCACAAUGGGCGGAAGCCUGAUGCAGCGACGCCGCGUGAGGGAUGACGGCCUUCGGGUUGUAAACCUCUUUCAGCAGGGACGAAGCGUAAGUGACGGUACCUGCAGAAGAAGCGCCGGCCAACUACGUGCCAGCAGCCGCGGUAAGACGUAGGGCGCGAGCGUUGUCCGGAUUUAUUGGGCGUAAAGAGCUCGUAGGCGGCUUGUCGCGUCGACUGUGAAAACCCGCAGCUCAACUGCGGGCCUGCAGUCGAUACGGGCAGGCUAGAGUUCGGUAGGGGAGACUGGAAUUCCUGGUGUAGCGGUGAAAUGCGCAGAUAUCAGGAGGAACACCGGUGGCGAAGGCGGGUCUCUGGGCCGAUACUGACGCUGAGGAGCGAAAGCGUGGGG
RNAcentral lists this ribosomal RNA (691 nucleotides) under Micromonospora sp. RNAcentral's name for it is "bacterial SSU rRNA". It matches the Rfam family "Bacterial small subunit ribosomal RNA", at positions 57 to 766 of the family's 1533-position model. The record is from RNAcentral. Lineage: Bacteria; Bacillati; Actinomycetota; Actinomycetes; Micromonosporales; Micromonosporaceae.